This 28-nucleotide non-coding RNA is filed under the name Cricetulus griseus (Chinese hamster). The record is from RNAcentral. Lineage: Eukaryota; Metazoa; Chordata; Mammalia; Rodentia; Cricetidae.
AAACAGUAGGAAGAGGAGAGAGGAUGGA